UCAAAGUGAAGAAAUUCAACCAAGCGCG
This 28-nucleotide small nuclear RNA is filed under the name Arabidopsis thaliana (thale cress). Its description in RNAcentral is "snRNA_11228". The record is from RNAcentral. Lineage: Eukaryota; Viridiplantae; Streptophyta; Magnoliopsida; Brassicales; Brassicaceae.